GACGAACGCUGGCGGCGUGCUUAACACAUGCAAGUCGAACGGAAAGGCCCUGCUUUUGUGGGGUGCUCGAGUGGCGAACGGGUGAGUAACACGUGAGUAACCUGCCCUUGACUUUGGGAUAACUUCAGGAAACUGGGGCUAAUACCGGAUAGGAGCUCCUGCUGCAUGGUGGGGGUUGGAAAGUUUCGGCGGUUGGGGAUGGACUCGCGGCGUAUCAGCUUGUUGGUGGGGUAGUGGCUUACCAAGGCUUUGACGGGUAGCCGGCCUGAGAGGGUGACCGGCCACAUUGGGACUGAGAUACGGCCCAGAAUCCUACGGGAGGCAGCAGUGGGGAAUAUUGCACAAUGGCGGGAAGCCUGAUGCAGCAACGCCGCGUGCGGGAUGACGGCCUUCGGGUUGUAAACCGCUUUCGCCUGUGACGAAGCGUGAGUGACGGUAAUGGGUAAAGAAGCACCGGCUAACUACGUG
This 468-nucleotide ribosomal RNA is filed under the name uncultured bacterium. Its description in RNAcentral is "partial 16S ribosomal RNA". It matches the Rfam family "Bacterial small subunit ribosomal RNA", at positions 28 to 507 of the family's 1533-position model. The record is from RNAcentral.